CGACCUGCUGGUGUGACACGAGGGGCGGUCUUCCGCGCCGCCCCGGGUCCGGUGAUCCCGGACCGUCGCCGGGCGGGUCGUC
RNAcentral lists this transfer RNA (82 nucleotides) under Streptomyces olivaceus. RNAcentral's name for it is "tRNA-Gly". Lineage: Bacteria; Bacillati; Actinomycetota; Actinomycetes; Kitasatosporales; Streptomycetaceae. The record is from RNAcentral.